CGGAGGAUGCAAGCGUUAUCCGGAAUGAUUUGGGCGUAAAGCGUCUGUAGGUGGAUUGUAAAGUCUUCUGUUAAAGAUCGGGGCUUAACCCAGUUCAAGCAGUAGAAACUUAUAAUCUAGAGUACGGUAGGGGCAGAGGGAAUUCCCGGUGUAGCGGUGAAAUGCGUAGAUAUCGGGAAGAACACCGACAGCGAAAGCACUCUGCUGGGCCGAAACUGACACUGAGAGACGAAAGCUAGGGGAGCAAAAGGGGAUU
This 256-nucleotide ribosomal RNA is filed under the name uncultured bacterium. RNAcentral describes it as "partial 16S ribosomal RNA". It matches the Rfam family "Bacterial small subunit ribosomal RNA", at positions 526 to 779 of the family's 1533-position model. The record is from RNAcentral.